This 829-nucleotide ribosomal RNA is filed under the name Aspergillus sp. RNAcentral's name for it is "partial 28S ribosomal RNA". It matches the Rfam family "Eukaryotic large subunit ribosomal RNA", at positions 100 to 949 of the family's 3401-position model. Lineage: Eukaryota; Fungi; Ascomycota; Eurotiomycetes; Eurotiales; Aspergillaceae. The record is from RNAcentral.
GGUAAGAGCUCAAAUUUGAAAGCUGGCCCCUUCGGGGUCCGCAUUGUAAUUUGCAGAGGAUGCUUCGGGAGCGGUCCCAUCUAAGUGCCCUGGAACGGGCCGUCAUAGAGGGUGAGAAUCCCGUAUGGGAUGGGGUGCCCGCGCCCGUGUGAAGCUCCUUCGACGAGUCGAGUUGUUUGGGAAUGCAGCUCUAAUUGGGUGGUAAAUUUCAUCUAAAGCUAAAUAUUGGCCGGAGACCGAUAGCGCACAAGUAGAGUGAUCGAAAGAUGAAAAGCACUUUGAAAAGAGAGUUAAAAAGCACGUGAAAUUGUUGAAAGGGAAGCGCUUGCGAUCAGACUCGCUCGCGGGGUUCAGCCGGCCUUCGGGCCGGUGUACUUCCCCGCGGGCGGGCCAGCGUCGGUUUGGGCGGCCGGUCAAAGGCCCCUGGAAUGUAACGCCUCUCGGGGCGUCUUAUAGCCAGGGGUGCCAUGCGGCCUGCCCGGACCGAGGAACGCGCUUCGGCUCGGACGCUGGCAUAAUGGUCGUAAGCGACCCGUCUUGAAACACGGACCAAGGAGUCUAACAUCUACGCGAGUGUUCGGGUGUCAAACCCGUGCGCGCAGUGAAAGCGAACGGAGGUGGGAACCCUUUGGGUGCACCAUCGACCGAUCCUGAUGUCUUCGGAUGGAUUUGAGUAAGAGCGUAGCUGUUGGGACCCGAAAGAUGGUGAACUAUGCCUGAAUAGGGCGAAGCCAGAGGAAACUCUGGUGGAGGCUCGCAGCGGUUCUGACGUGCAAAUCGAUCGUCAAAUUUGGGUAUAGGGGCGAAAGACUAAUCGAACCAUCUAGUA